GCAGCAGCAGCGCCGCGCAAACUCAGUCUCCUCCCCCUCCUCCUCCCUCCGCAUGCACUUCCUCAUUUCGGCCACAACGGGCGAGAAGUGGCGCUGUUGAGCACCUAACCUCACACUGCCUGCCCUGCUGUAGCUACAGGUCACGGGGAUCUGCUGGAGCCUAUUCCAGCACACAUCGGGCGAAAAGCAGGGGUAGACAGGUCGGCAGUCCAUCACAGGGCUGCACAUACAGUAUAUAGACAGACAACCACACCAAUUACCAAUUACGAAUUACCAAUCAACUGUGGGAGGAAACCGGAGUACCCGGAGUAAACUCACGCAGGCACGGGGAGAACAUGCAAACUCCACACAGAAAGGCCCUUGCCUGUUUAAACCAGGGAUUCAAACCCAGGACCUUGCUGUGAGGCAACAGUGAAAACCAGUAGGCCACUGUGCUGCCCCCCCAUCUCAUUAUAUUUGAAGGUAAAAAACAACACUCAUUUUUAUGUAGUUAAUUCUGACGGUGAUUCGUGUACUAUAUGAGCAGGGGAAAUGGGGAAAAAGGGGGUGUGGCUUAUUCAAUAGACUGGCUGUGUGAAAGAACAGAACAGAAUUUCGGAUUGGAGGCUGUUUUAUUCAAACAAAUAAAACCUGAAGAAAUAUCGUAACUUGAAAUAUAGAGUAUUGAGCUUUUCAACGGUACCUGAUUUGUUUAAAAAAAAGAAACAAAAAACAUGAGAUGCAGAAGUUGCUGUAUAUCCAGCUGUGAGGAUGUUCAUAAAAGCGUCACAUGGUUUUGAUUUCUUCUUUCAGCUCAAAGGAGAGAAACCUGACUUGUGAUCAGCUAGCUAGCGUCUAGCUGUAAGUGCAGACGUUAUCAAAGAGCACCUCUGUGUUUCAUCGGCAACAGGAUGUGGCAUCAGGAAAUCAUCACAAACAUUCUUUAUUCAUUUGCAUAUACUUUAUUUCCUAUAAAAUCUGUGUGCGUUAAACUUCCCACGGGUACACUGACACCCCCCUUUGGCCUUUUUCUUCAUGAUGGCAAAUUGUAUUCAUG
Molecule: long non-coding RNA, 1036 nt
Organism: Hemibagrus wyckioides
Lineage: Eukaryota; Metazoa; Chordata; Actinopteri; Siluriformes; Bagridae
Exons: 2
Source: RefSeq, a predicted model, not a curated record